RNAcentral lists this long non-coding RNA (639 nucleotides) under Equus caballus (horse). RNAcentral's name for it is "lncRNA (ENSECAG00000047288.1)". The record is from RNAcentral. Lineage: Eukaryota; Metazoa; Chordata; Mammalia; Perissodactyla; Equidae.
AACCUCUUAAUCAACCAGCUGGUUACUGAGGCCAGGUGCUGUGGAUUUACAAGAGAAACAGUAACGUAUUUGUGCGGAGGCUCUGCAGUUUGCCUCUCCCAAAUCCACUCUCAGCCCUUCUCGACACUCUUCUCAGCUCAGGGAGCCCCUCGGGACUCCUGAGCCCUCUGGCUUCCCCUUGGGCUCAGCCCAUGGAAGCCCCUGGCAGGAGGGACGGGGAAGGAUGCAGGACUUGUAUCUUUCCUGGAGUGACCCAGCAAAGCCAAAUGGCUCCGAAUCCUCAGGAAGCCCCCACUGGGUUUAAAGAAGGACUUCUAGCUGCUCUGCACUGCCUUUAUUGUUGGUUAUGGACCACCUCCGAGGUACUACUCAAGGUCUCCACAGUUUCUUCUAAACUCCAAAGUUGAUUGAAUUUCUUCGACUUCAUCACUGUCGUGCAGAAACUUCAAGACGCCCAAUACUCCCUGUCGAACAGCUCCUGAGAGAAUAAGAAGAACAAGCGCUGAGAUCUUUCAGGGAGAUUUACAGCAUUAAUAACCCCAGGCUAUUUUAAGUUGCAGUCAAUCUUUAUGGAAGAAGCACAGAGAUUAUACAGCAAUUCUUUUAUUUUUUUUUCUUCCUAGAAUUGCAAACUGAUAU